UGAAUGUGAAUGGGUGAUUGGGA
RNAcentral lists this microRNA (23 nucleotides) under Monodelphis domestica (gray short-tailed opossum). RNAcentral describes it as "mdo-miR-7275-3p". The record is from miRBase by way of RNAcentral. Lineage: Eukaryota; Metazoa; Chordata; Mammalia; Didelphimorphia; Didelphidae.